Molecule: RNA transcript, 927 nt
Organism: Nymphaea colorata (pocket water lily)
Lineage: Eukaryota; Viridiplantae; Streptophyta; Magnoliopsida; Nymphaeales; Nymphaeaceae
Exons: 3
Source: RefSeq, a predicted model, not a curated record
UCUCAUUCUCCUCCUUUUCUCUCCGCUUUUCCCUCCAUUGAAGAGCCGAUCUUUGGUUCUCUCUCGCUCUUUCCUUCUCUCGCUCUUUCCUCUGCUCUCUCGCUCCCUCCUUCCUCUCCUCUUUCCCCAAUGUCGCACCCUCCUUCCUCUGUCGCUGCUCCCUCGCUCCCUCCUUCCUCUCCUCUUUCCCCAACGUCGCUCCCUCCUUCCUCUCCUCUUUCCCCAAUGUCGCUCCCUCAUUCCUCUCUCGCUCCCUCCUUCCUCUCCUCUUUCCCCAACGUUGCUCCCUCCUUCCUCUCUCACUGCUGUCUUGCUCCUUCCUUCCUCUCUCGCUGCUGUCUUGCUCCCUCAUUUCCCAACGUCGCCCGCUUGCAGCCCCAGGACUUAGGCACCAUCUUCAACAGCAAAUUUUGGUUCAUCCCUCUUGGCUGUUGCUUUACUCGGGUGAGAACAGUGUCCUUGCAGAUGGGAAAUUACUAGUAACCUCUCCAAAACCCAAGGAAUAGGUACAAUUAAGACUGCAGGGGGGCAAAAUCAGAGAGCCCUAUACCGCUAUACAUUAUCGAGGAAAAUCAUUUUACCAAACCCAGAUAAUGCGACUACUGCUUAUGAUAACAAGAAGCAGCGAUUGUGCAUCAGAUCCCCGAUGUGUUCAUGCAAGCUCAGUCACGUGCAAUCUGAAGGUUUUUUUCCUUUUUCUUCUUCUCUACUUUUAUUGCAGAUUUUCUCUUCCUCAAGCUUUUAGUUUAGGCUUUUCAGUUUUAGAAAUUAGAACUGCAGAUUUAAUUGCUGGUGUUUAGGUCAUAAGAUUUUGCAUCCUCCAUGAUAAUUGCAAUGCAGUGACUUAGAUUAUAAACUUGUUCUUGUUAUGCUAUUCAAACUGGAUGGGACAACACGCUCUGGUUAAUGUUUUUUAACUUUCAUACA